This 588-nucleotide ribosomal RNA is filed under the name uncultured Acinetobacter sp. RNAcentral's name for it is "bacterial SSU rRNA". It matches the Rfam family "Bacterial small subunit ribosomal RNA", at positions 71 to 655 of the family's 1533-position model. The record is from RNAcentral. Lineage: Bacteria; Pseudomonadati; Pseudomonadota; Gammaproteobacteria; Moraxellales; Moraxellaceae.
AUGAGGUGCUUGCACCUUAUCUUAGCGGCGGACGGGUGAGUAAUGCUUAGGAAUCUGCCUAUUAGUGGGGGACAACAUUCCGAAAGGGAUGCUAAUACCGCAUACGUCCUACGGGAGAAAGCAGGGGAUCUUCGGACCUUGCGCUAAUAGAUGAGCCUAAGUCGGAUUAGCUAGUUGGUGGGGUAAAGGCCUACCAAGGCGACGAUCUGUAGCGGGUCUGAGAGGAUGAUCCGCCACACUGGGACUGAGACACGGCCCAACUCCUAUGGGAGGCAGCAGUGGGGAAUAUUGGACAAUGGGGGGAACCCUGAUCCAGCCAUGCCGCGUGUGUGAAGAAGGCCUUAUGGUUGUAAAGCACUUUAAGCGAGGAGGAGGCUACUGAGACUAAUACUCUUGGAUAGUGGACGUUACUCGCAGAAUAAGCACCGGCUAACUCUGUGCCAGCAGCCGCGGUAAUACAGAGGGUGCGAGCGUUAAUCGGAUUUACUGGGCGUAAAGCGUGCGUAGGCGGCUUUUUAAGUCGGAUGUGAAAUCCCCGAGCUUAACUUGGGAAUUGCAUUCGAUACUGGGAAGCUAGAGUAUGGGAGA